UUGGACGGUCAUAGGGGCCUGGUUCACCCGUUCCCAUUUCGAACACGGAAGUUAAGCAUGCCUCCGUUCUUGGUUGUACUGUACUCAUGUACGGGAAGCCCGGAAAGCUGUCCACU
Molecule: ribosomal RNA, 116 nt
Filed under: Candidatus Woesearchaeota archaeon
Lineage: Archaea; Nanobdellati; Candidatus Woesearchaeota
Source: RNAcentral